UACGGAGGGUGCAAGCGUUAUCCGGAUUCACUGGGUUUAAAGGGUGUGUAGGCGGAUUUUUAAGUCAGUGGUGAAAUCUCCGGGCUCAACCCGGAAACUGCCAUUGAUACUAUUAGUCUUGAAUUCUGUUGAGGUGGGCGGAAUACAUCAUGUAGCGGUGAAAUGCUUAGAUAUGACGUAGAACACCGAUUGCGAAGGCAGCUCACUAAGCAGACAUUGACGCUGAGGCACGAAAGCGUGGGGAUCAAACAGG
RNAcentral lists this ribosomal RNA (253 nucleotides) under uncultured bacterium. RNAcentral describes it as "partial 16S ribosomal RNA". It matches the Rfam family "Bacterial small subunit ribosomal RNA", at positions 524 to 776 of the family's 1533-position model. The record is from RNAcentral.